RNAcentral lists this ribosomal RNA (490 nucleotides) under uncultured bacterium. RNAcentral's name for it is "partial 16S ribosomal RNA". It matches the Rfam family "Bacterial small subunit ribosomal RNA", at positions 30 to 507 of the family's 1533-position model. The record is from RNAcentral.
AUUGAACGCUGGCGACAGGCCUAACACAUGCAAGUCGAACGGUAACAGGAAGCAGCUUGCUGCUUUGCUGACGAGUGGCGGACGGGUGAGUAAUGUCUGGGAAACUGCCCGAUGGAGGGGGAUAACUACUGGAAACGGUAGCUAAUACCGCAUAACGUCGCAAGACCAAAGAGGGGGACCUUAGGGCCUCUUGCCAUCGGAUGUGCCCAGAUGGGAUUAGCUAGUAGGUGGGGUAACGGCUCACCUAGGCGACGAUCCCUAGCUGGUCUGAGAGGAUGACCAGCCACACUGGAACUGAGACACGGUCCAGACUCCUACGGGAGGCAGCAGUGGGGAAUAUUGCACAAUGGGCGCAAGCCUGAUGCAGCCAUGCCGCGUGUAUGAAGAAGGCCUUCGGGUUGUAAAGUACUUUCAGCGGGGAGGAAGGGAGUAAAGUUAAUACCUUUGCUCAUUGACGUUACCCGCAGAAGAAGCACCGGCUAACUCCGUG